AUUGAACGCUGGCGGCAGGCCUAACACAUGCAAGUCGAGCGGAUGAAGGGAGCUUGCUCCUGGAUUCAGCGGCGGACGGGUGAGUAAUGCCUAGGAAUCUGCCUGGUAGUGGGGGAUAACGUCCGGAAACGGGCGCUAAUACCGCAUACGUCCUGAGGGAGAAAGUGGGGGAUCUUCGGACCUCACGCUAUCAGAUGAGCCUAGGUCGGAUUAGCUAGUUGGUGGGGUAAAGGCCUACCAAGGCGACGAUCCGUAACUGGUCUGAGAGGAUGAUCAGUCACACUGGAACUGAGACACGGUCCAGAGUCCUACGGGAGGCAGCGGUGGGGAAUAUUGGACAAUGGGCGAAAGCCUGAUCCAGCCAUGCAGCGUGUGUGAAGAAGGUCUUCGGAUUGUAAAGCGCUUUUAGUGGGGAGGAAGGGCAGUAAGUUAAUAGCUUGCUGUGUUGACGUUACCAACAGAAUAAGCACCGGCUAACUUCGUG
This 484-nucleotide ribosomal RNA is filed under the name uncultured bacterium. Its description in RNAcentral is "partial 16S ribosomal RNA". It matches the Rfam family "Bacterial small subunit ribosomal RNA", at positions 30 to 507 of the family's 1533-position model. The record is from RNAcentral.